This 278-nucleotide long non-coding RNA is filed under the name Lepisosteus oculatus (spotted gar). Its description in RNAcentral is "lncRNA (ENSLOCG00000023004.1)". The record is from RNAcentral. Lineage: Eukaryota; Metazoa; Chordata; Actinopteri; Semionotiformes; Lepisosteidae.
GGAAACUGCUUCUCUUCUUUGCUAUACAGCUGGCAGGCUUGCAGUGUUGCAGAGUAGUGAUGCUCCAUUAGCCCUCCCAUAUCUGACUGAAACCUCUGCAGGAUCCCAGAUCCCUUUCUAGUGUUCCAGCCUUCAGGAUCCUGGUGCACCCCCAGAAGCUCCCCAGUCCCCACUGCGCAGCCUGCAGGAUCCUGCCGACAUCAACUGAAAGCACGAAACUGCAACAGGAAGAGACGCAUCUCGAGAGGAACUUGCACACCAGCAUCUACACAUCUUGA